CAAGUCGAACGGAAAGGCCCUUCGGGGUACUCGAGUGGCGAACGGGUGAGUAACACGUGGGUGAUCUGCCCUGCACUUUGGGAUAAGCCUGGGAAACUGGGUCUAAUACCGAAUACACCUUGCUGGAUGCAUGUCUGGUGGGGGAAAGCUUUUGCGGUGUGGGAUGGGCCCGCGGCCUAUCAGCUUGUUGGUGAGGUUACGGCUCACCAAGGCGACGACGGGUAGCCGGCCUGAGAGGGUGUCCGGCCACACUGGGACUGAGAUACGGCCCAGACUCCUACGGGAGGCAGCAGUGGGGAAUAUUGCACAAUGGGCGCAAGCCUGAUGCAGCGACGCCGCGUGAGGGAUGACGGCCUUCGGGUUGUAAACCUCUUUCGCCAGGGACGAAGCGCAAGUGACGG
This 401-nucleotide ribosomal RNA is filed under the name actinobacterium BAL125. Its description in RNAcentral is "bacterial SSU rRNA". It matches the Rfam family "Bacterial small subunit ribosomal RNA", at positions 58 to 475 of the family's 1533-position model. The record is from RNAcentral. Lineage: Bacteria; Bacillati; Actinomycetota; Actinomycetes.